GGGACUAAAAGGCUUUUGCAUCCCUCCCGUUUCCAUGGGCUGAGCUGUAUCUGCUCUGGCCAUAGCAAUGGCAGAGUUGAGGGCAGCUGGAAUCUAGCCCAGUUUUUACCAACAAUUCAUUGUGUGACCUUGGGCAUCCUUUCCAGGCCUCCUUUCCUUCAUCUGUAAAGUGAGGGGUUUAGACUAGAUCAUCUCUCAAGUCUAGCUGUAACAUCUAAAUGACGGUGAAACCGUUUACCUCAGAUUGGGACUCAAACCCAUAUGGCUGGGACUUGAACUCAGCCAAAACCCUGCUUGGGGCUUGAAGCCAUGUGGCUGGGACUUGAACCGAGCCAAAACCCACAGUACCUGGUUUCAGGACCUAUUGAAGCUCAGGUUCUAGAUGUCUCAUCACAGAAAGAAUUCAGUGAGAGACAAAGUGAUAGAUCCCAGGUGCCUCUUUUCAGGCCCAGUGGAGCGCCGAGUCUCACCUCUCUGGGCCCCAGCGUGUGAUGCAAGAGGUCGGGGAGGCAUGCAGCCGCCUGCUCCAGCCUUUCGGGAGAAGAGCCUCCAGUCUCUGGUGUCUUUUAAGUGCCUUUCCCUUUUUUUCUUUAAGAUCAAACAAAUAAACCUGUUGUGUAUUCUUUUUAUACACAACACCUGAUGGCCACAAAAAAGAAGCGAAAAGGGUGUCUAAUAAGAGUCACCACCUAAAAAAGUCACUAGAAGCAUUUGGUGGAUAUGAUGUUUUCUGUCUUCCCCAGACACUGAGAAUUCAUCAGAGACAAGUCAGGCAGGGCCCCUGCGCUUUAAGAGCGCGCAUGUCAGUGGGAAAAAUGACACGUAACCUAUGUAACAUCUACUGAUGAGCAAGACAGCUCCCUCUCUCCUCUGCUUCCAUCUCUCCUGCCAUUGAUUUCUCCCCCAGAAGCCUUCCUUUGGUUUCACACAUCUACUCUGUGGCAGGAAGAGGCUUUUGUGUGUAACACGAGGUGCCGGACACACGCCUGGGGUGGGCUGUGUUCUGGGCGGGGAGAAGGCAGCCACCACCUUGUUGGAGGCAGGAUGCUCACGGCUCCUUGUCUCAAGGCUAUUUGUGCCCCACGCUGCCUGGGAUCAGAUGGCUGCACUGCAGGGCGUGGAAGGAAGGGCUUCUUGCAGAUGUGCCCUUGGGCCGAGUCACGUUGACAGCCAAGCUAGGGACCAAGACCCAGUUGGCUCCCAAGGU
RNAcentral lists this long non-coding RNA (1207 nucleotides) under Capra hircus (goat). RNAcentral describes it as "lncRNA (ENSCHIG00000000868.1)". The record is from RNAcentral. Lineage: Eukaryota; Metazoa; Chordata; Mammalia; Artiodactyla; Bovidae.